CCUACGGGAGGCAGCAGUGAGGAAUAUUGGUCAAUGGACGAGAGUCUGAACCAGCCAAGUAGCGUGAAGGAUGACUGCCCUAUGGGUUGUAAACUUCUUUUAUAUGGGAAUAAAAUGUUCCACGUGUGGGAUUUUGUAUGUACCAUAUGAAUAAGGAUCGGCUAACUCCGUGCCAGCAGCCGCGGUAAUACGGAGGAUCCGAGCGUUAUCCGGAUUUAUUGGGUUUAAAGGGAGCGUAGGUGGAUUGUUAAGUCAGGGGUGAAAGUUUGCGGAUCAACCGUAAAAUUGCAGUUGAAACUGGCAGUCUUGAGUACAGUAGAGGUGGGCGGAAUGCGUGGUGUAGCGGUGAAAUGCUUAGAUAUCACGAAGAACUCCGAUUGCGAAGGCAGUUCACUGGACUGCAACUGACACUGAGGCUCGAAAGUGUGGGUAUCAAACAGGAUUAGAUACCCCUGUAGUC
Molecule: ribosomal RNA, 460 nt
Filed under: uncultured bacterium
Lineage: Bacteria
Description: partial 16S ribosomal RNA
Rfam family: Bacterial small subunit ribosomal RNA
Source: RNAcentral